Molecule: ribosomal RNA, 402 nt
Filed under: uncultured bacterium
Lineage: Bacteria
Description: bacterial SSU rRNA
Rfam family: Bacterial small subunit ribosomal RNA
Source: RNAcentral
GGGAAUAUUGCACAAUGGGGGAAACCCUGAUGCAGCGACGCCGCGUGAGCGAAGAAGUAUUUCGGUAUGUAAAGCUCUAUCAGCAGGGAAGAAAAUGACGGUACCUGAGUAAGAAGCUCCGGCUAAAUACGUGCCAGCAGCCGCGGUAAUACGUAUGGAGCAAGCGUUAUCCGGAUUUACUGGGUGUAAAGGGAGCGCAGGCGGUCUGGCAAGUCUGAUGUGAAAUACCGGGGCUCAACUCCGGGACUGCAUUGGAAACUGUCAGACUGGAGUGUCGGAGAGGCAGGCGGAAUUCCUGGUGUAGCGGUGAAAUGCGUAGAUAUCAGGAGGAACACCAGUGGCGAAGGCGGCCUGCUGGACGAUGACUGACGCUGAGGCUCGAAAGCGUGGGGAGCAAACAGG